GCUUAAUAUUAAAAUUUUAUUUAGUUAAAUUUUAUAUAAUAAAAACUUAGUGGAUUAUAUUUAUUUUAUUGGGGCGAUAGAAGUAAAAUGAUUAAUAACUGCUUAAUUUUUUAUACAUUAAUAAUUGAUUAGCCAAUUUAAAUGAUCCUAAUUAAAGAUCAAAAGUUCAAGUU
RNAcentral lists this ribosomal RNA (173 nucleotides) under Cyclograpsus intermedius. RNAcentral's name for it is "partial 16S ribosomal RNA". The record is from RNAcentral. Lineage: Eukaryota; Metazoa; Arthropoda; Malacostraca; Decapoda; Varunidae.